This is a non-coding RNA of Pantherophis guttatus, 3457 nucleotides long. NCBI's taxonomy places the organism in Eukaryota, Metazoa, Chordata, Lepidosauria, Squamata, Colubridae. The record is from RefSeq and is a predicted model, not a curated record.
GGGCUGCGGGCCGCCCGUAAGGAAGUCUCGGAAGAGAACUCCGGUUCACCUUCUCUUCGCUUGGAAAGGACAAUCGAUCGCGGUUCAAGAGAAGACUUCCCCAGGCAGCCUUUUAAAAGGAUGAAAGGCUGCCUUUUCCAAGGAUCUGCCCUGUUGAUGUUUAGCCAUCAACCACCAGCUCCAGCUCCAGCUCUUUCCUUCAUAUAUGCGUUAGGAGGCGAGAUCGAUCUUCCAUCACGAUUUUCGCUCCAAAUGCCGGGUCAGUGGAAUUGCCAAGGCCAAGCAACGAUUCUCUAUUUCAGGGGAAGCCAACCCUAAAUGUCUCUCUCUCUCUCGCUCCCCCUUUCUCGCCGCUCCCCGGUGCCCAUUCUUCCUGCCUGCAGGAAUGCGUUGGCUACAGGCUGAACAUCGCCGCCUUGCAAAAACGAUGGAGCUGCUUUCCUAGACCCAGUUCAGAUCCCGGGGAGCCCUUCUUAGCCAAUGUGGAAAAUCUCGGGAAUGCGGAGGGAAGGUGAGGGAUUCAGUCCCUCGGUCCACACAAAGAAACAGCGGUCGGCGUGUUCUCCCCCCCCCCGCCUUCUUCGCUAGGGACAGAAUAUAGCCUGAAGCAAUUCCACUGGCUUCAAAAAAUUUGCCCUGGAGUUAUCCAUUUAAAGGCUGAAACCAGAAUGUCAAGCCAUCACCAGCAAAGAUGGGAAUGAAAUGAAACGAUGGUCCAACAGUCACCAUGCUCUUAUUAUAGACUGGUAUGCAGCAGAACUCAUAGCAAACUGAGGAGGGGCAGAGAGGAAUGUGAAAAGCUGACUUUGAUGACAAGAAAAAGCAUUGAACCAUGGCAUAGCCAUAGUAAACAUGGUAGAGCAAGACUUCCAGUUCAGAUCUCUUGCUCCCUAUUUCAUUUCAGAUUAAGCAAAGCUCUUCUGAGUGUACCCUCACCUCUCGUUGAAGUCUUCAGGAAAAAAGGAAGAUUUAAUACAACGUGAGAUGGUCUUUCUCCUUCUAGUUCCUUCUGGAGGUGCUAGAUUAAAUGGUCUAUAAUUCUUAUGGUCAGUGCAGUUUGGUGGUAAAGAGGGCUAAUACACCUGCAUGGGAUGAGAUGAGGGGAAACUCACCUAGGUAAAUCAGGGCACUUAGUUGAUGGCCUAUACCAGUGGUGAGUUGCACCCGGUUCGCACCGGUUCUAUAGAACUGAUAGUAAAACCGGCGGGAGGCCCCGCCCACCGACCCUGACAUCAUCAAAAUGCUUCUGUGUUUGCGCAGAAGAGCACGCGUGCGAGCAAAGCAAGCGCAGGCACACGGCCCGGUUGCAAACCAGUAGUAAAGGUAAGUAGAACCCACUCCUGCCCUAUAGCCAUGAUGGAGAGAAAUAUUACUCCAACAGCAAUAAUACUGCCAUAGAACCCCUCACCAUGAUACCGUUGAAGCAAAACUAAGUCCUAAUCAUACAAUCUUGAUAAGAUUUCCUCUUAUUCACUGUCAGUCUGGCAGUACCCAAGAAAAGCAGCCCUGCAAUAAAGGAGGAUGGUCAGAGGUCGUUCUGCAUUUGGAAGAAUGAGAUUCUAUGGGAGGACAUGAAUUCAUCGGGAGGGUAUUAAUAGCAAAGUGAAAGCUUUAUGUGCUCCAUAUAAAACACCUUGCAAUCUCUAAGCUGUCCUGAGGUAAAUUAAAAGUAGAUGGUAUUGGAACAAGAUGUGACAACUAAUCAGGUGAGCUUUUGUACGAUGGGGGGAUGGGCACUAUUUUGGGAUAUCUUUUGUUAUUUGGGAUAUUUUUUGUUAUUUUUUUUGUAAUGGGUGCUCCAUCAUUGCAGGCUUUUAAAAAGAGAUCGGACAGCCAUUUAGUAUAGGGCAGGGAUGGUGAAGCUUUUCGGCACCGAGUGCCCAAACUGGAACUCGCAUGCAUGUGUGUGCAUGUGUGUGCACCGGAGCACCGGAAACCUGAAGACCAGCUGGCCAGCGCAUGCAUGCCUGUUUUUUGGCUAUUUGGGGGGCCAUUAUCAGGCCAUUUUUGGGGGGCGUUUUCAGGCCAUUUACCGGCCAGUUUUUGGGCCAGUUUUUUGGCUGUUUUCCGGUGCUCCAGCACCUGCAAAGACCAGCUGGCUGGCGCACAUAUGUGCACCAGGUGACAACGCAUGUGCCCACAGAGAGGGCUCUGCGUGCCAUCUCUGGCAUGCGUGCCAUAGGUUCACCAUCACAGAUAUAAGGACCCUUGCUUGAGCAGGAAAUUGGACUAGAAGACCUCCAAGGUCCUUUCUAAUUUUGUUAUUUUGUUAUUGUUUGUUUAUUUGUUCAGAUAACCAAAUUAUUUUGGCCCAUUAGUUACCGCUGGACACCCCCCCCAUUGAUACCAGUCCUUAUGGCAAAGGCAAAAAGGUUUCCUUCUUCUGUCGUUCUCUCCAUCUUUGCUGUUAGAAGAAGCAAAAGACAGAAAUGGUUUUGUCCUCUCUCUGUAAUUGCAAAAAUAAAUGGGGAUAGGUUUUCGGGAUGGCUUAUAGCAGAAACAGAUGAAUGUUCAUUGCAGAUGCCUUGUAAAAUAAAGUAUUUUUCAGUUGCUACAGGAAGUUUUAAUGUGCUGUAAAACAUGAGGAAAUGGACAUUGGGGAGGGGGAACUCUGCACAGUAACCCCUGCAGUAAAUAUACAGCCAUACUAAGAAGACACCAGGGAAUUAUUCAUCUGCUCCCCACAAAAAAAGGAAGCGUUUCAAGGACUCAACAGACAGGAGGCCUCUCUUCAUUUUCUCCUCUCCUCCUCUUCCUGAAAGGCACUACUUGGCUUGAAGUAAGGCCUUGAUUGAUAGGAAUGUGAUCCUGGGUCUCUCCAAUCAUAAACUGACUGAACAGUGGUCCAGUAUCAGCUUGCAUUCCAGCUGUCCAUCUUCAGUGUCACUUGGACAAGCCAGCUGCCAGUUUUUCAAACCACAAUUUGAACAUCUCUGCAGUAAUUUGUUCUUUCAUCAUAGAAUUUGCCAGCCCACUCCAAAGAAAGUAUCCAUAGGGCAAAUGAACUUGGGUUUAACAACACAGCACAUCAACUGCAUAUAUUAGAUUCUGAGCAUGAUGUUUUACAUCUACAGACUACAGCAAAUAAUAGAGCAACCCUUUGACGUGGAUUGGGCUGAAAGACAAUGAUUGUUCCAAGGUUACCCAGCUGGCUAAGGCAGGACUUGAAUUCAUUUUCCCUCUUUCUAGCCUGGUGCCUUAACCACUGGCUCUGUUUUGUUUCAAAAAAAAAAAAAAAAAAGUCUUCAGAUGGGCAUGCACCAAUCUCCCAGACCUGUACUAGGGAUUCAAAUCUUCAAACUGCCGACCUUUCUGAUCAACAAGCUCAGUGUCUUAGCCACUGAGCCACCUACUCAGUAUUUUUGCUCAUUUUUAUUUUCAUGUUUUUGAUGUAGGUUUCUCUGCUUCUUCUAGAAAUGAAGAAGCUGGUGCCUGUGCUCAACCUUAUACUUUUAUC